GGUUCCAUGGUCUAGUGGUGAUGAUGUUCGACUUUGACUCGGAAGACAGGGGUUCGAUUCCCCUUGGGACCU
Talaromyces stipitatus ATCC 10500 is the source of this 72-nucleotide transfer RNA. It matches the Rfam family "tRNA". From Rfam's summary of the family: Transfer RNA (tRNA) molecules are approximately 80 nucleotides in length. Their secondary structure includes four short double-helical elements and three loops (D, anti-codon, and T loops). Further hydrogen bonds mediate the characteristic L-shaped molecular structure. tRNAs have two regions of fundamental functional importance: the anti-codon, which is responsible for specific mRNA codon recognition, and the 3' end, to which the tRNAs corresponding amino acid is attached (by aminoacyl-tRNA synthetases). tRNAs cope with the degeneracy of the genetic code in two manners: having more than one tRNA (with a specific anti-codon) for a particular amino acid; and 'wobble' base-pairing, i.e. permitting non-standard base-pairing at the 3rd anti-codon position. The record is from Rfam. NCBI's taxonomy places the organism in Eukaryota, Fungi, Ascomycota, Eurotiomycetes, Eurotiales, Trichocomaceae.